Molecule: transfer RNA, 73 nt
Filed under: Spirochaetales bacterium
Lineage: Bacteria; Pseudomonadati; Spirochaetota; Spirochaetia; Spirochaetales
Also listed under: 1 other name
Description: tRNA-Ala
Rfam family: tRNA
About the family: Transfer RNA (tRNA) molecules are approximately 80 nucleotides in length. Their secondary structure includes four short double-helical elements and three loops (D, anti-codon, and T loops).
Source: RNAcentral
GGGGGUGUAGCUCAGAUGGUAGAGCGACUGAAUGGCAUUCAGUAGGUAGUCGGUUCGAUCCCGAUCACCUCCA